Molecule: long non-coding RNA, 490 nt
Filed under: Homo sapiens (human)
Lineage: Eukaryota; Metazoa; Chordata; Mammalia; Primates; Hominidae
Description: non-protein coding lnc-NEFM-2:1
Source: RNAcentral
GCCGUUCUGCCACCCCUAUUUAUACGCCGGGAGGCUCCUGACGCAGCCUGCGAUCGAUCACGGCACGCCGGCCAGUGGGGGCAGCGCGCUGCUGCAGCCAAGGCGAGGAUUCUGCGCAAAAGGGAAGGCGGGGUCGAGCUACGGCCCGAGGAGCUGCGGCGGUCGUCCUUUCCACUUUGCUCAGAGGGCCCUGAUUUUCUCUGAGAUCCCAUGCCCCCUCACUCAUUUCCCUUCUGUACUCACUCACGCAGCCCCUCCCGUCCUGCAUUGCCCAGACCCCGUGACACUUGGAUCCUUAAGUUGCCCCCAAAACAGGUUCUUGCUCCCUUUUGACACCCUAGUUUUCUGUAUCCCGUCACCUCGCAGACACCCUGUCCCCCCAACUCGCCCUUUUCCCACCAGGAACCUCCUUAAUUUUUUCCCUUGGUGUUUACGGUGAUGGUGCGGCUAGGGAAUUUUAGAUACAAAUAAAUAGGCUAGGUUAUGUGUA